GCACCCGUAGCUCAGCUGGAUAGAGUACCUGACUACGAAUCAGGGGGCCAGGGGUUCGAAUCCCUUCGGGUGCACCA
Molecule: transfer RNA, 77 nt
Filed under: Ascidiaceihabitans sp.
Lineage: Bacteria; Pseudomonadati; Pseudomonadota; Alphaproteobacteria; Rhodobacterales; Paracoccaceae
Also listed under: 2 other names
Description: tRNA-Arg
Rfam family: tRNA
About the family: Transfer RNA (tRNA) molecules are approximately 80 nucleotides in length. Their secondary structure includes four short double-helical elements and three loops (D, anti-codon, and T loops).
Source: RNAcentral